CGACGACGUCCAAAAGUACAUUUUUACACUCUUGACCUCGGAUCAGGUAGGGAUACCCGCUGAACUUAAGCAUAUCAAUAA
RNAcentral lists this ribosomal RNA (81 nucleotides) under Didymella sp. SL02002. RNAcentral's name for it is "Peyronellaea sp. SL02002 partial 28S ribosomal RNA". Lineage: Eukaryota; Fungi; Ascomycota; Dothideomycetes; Pleosporales; Didymellaceae. The record is from RNAcentral.